CACCGCGGCGGGGAGGGCGAAGGAGCCCCGGCCGCAGCGGCUCCUCCUCCUCCUCCUGGCGCUCCCCGGCCUCGCCCGCAGCGCCCCGAGCAGCCGGGACGGGCGGUGGCAGCGGCUCCCGAGCACCCGCGAUCUUUGCAAUGAGUUACCCAGGCUAUCCCCCAGCGGGUGGAUAUCCACCAGCAGCACCAGGUAGCAGUCCUUGGGGUGGUGCUGCCUACCCACCUUCAAAUCCACCUCCAAUUGGUCUGGAAAAUGUGUCUGGCUAUGCCAACCAGUUCAAUCCCAGCCAGAUGGCUGGAAUGGCAGCCAACCUGGCAGGGACCUUUGGAGGAAAUGCACCACAAGGCAUGUAUCCUUCAACACCUGGGGGUUAUCCACCAGUCCCUCCAGGUGGCUUUGGGCAACCUCCACCAGGACAGCAGCCCUCCUAUGGGGGGUAUCCACCAUCAGGAAUGCCAGCUUACCCAGGAUACCCAGGCCAGCCUGCACCACCGCCUGGUCAGCAACCUAUGAACUACCCAGGACAACCACCAGCAGCUUACCCAGGGCAGCAGCCCAUGCCAAAUUAUCCACCAGGUCCAGCUGUGAAUCCAUCUAUGCCCUCUUACUCAGGAACUACAGGGCCUGCAGUCUCUCCUGUAACACAUGGAAACCGAGGCACAAUCACUGAUGCACCGGGUUUUGACCCUCUGAAGGACGCAGAAGUCUUAAGGAAGGCCAUGAAGGGAUUAGGAACCGAUGAGCAAGCCAUUAUCGACUGCCUUGGAAGUCGUUCGAACAAGCAGCGGCAGCAGAUAAUGUUGUCCUUCAAAACAGCUUAUGGGAAGGAUUUGAUCAAGGAUCUCAAGUCUGAGCUAUCAGGUAACUUUGAGAAGACAAUCUUGGCAAUGAUGAAGACACCUGUCAUGUUUGAUGCUUAUGAAAUCAAGGAAGCUAUAAAGGGUGUUGGCACAGAUGAAAAUUGUCUCAUUGAAAUCUUAGCUUCUCGCAGUAACGAGCAUAUUCAGGAACUCAACAGGGUCUAUAAAGCAGAAUUUAAGAAAACGCUGGAGGAAGCAAUAAAAAGUGACACAUCUGGACACUUUCAGAGGCUUUUAGUUUCACUUUCUCAGGGAAACAGAGAUGAAAGUACAACUGUUGACAUGUCUCUUGUCCAGAGAGAUGUGCAGGAGUUGUAUGCAGCUGGAGAGAACCGUCUAGGAACUGAUGAAUCCAAGUUCAAUGCCAUUCUGUGUGCAAGAAGCAGGGCCCACCUCAGAGCAGUCUUCAAUGAGUACCAGAGGAUGUGCAACCGGGACAUUGAGAAAAGCAUAUGUCGCGAAAUGUCUGGAGACCUGGAGAAGGGCAUGCUGGCUGUGGCUUUCUGGAUUGUACAACUGUUAAGUGUCUCAAGAACACACCAGCUUUUUUUGCAGAGAGAUUACAGAAAGCUAUGAAGGGAGCAGGGACAAAAGACAGGACUCUGAUCCGAAUCAUGGUGUCGCGCAGCGAGGUUGACCUGCUGGACAUACGUGCAGAAUACAAGCGGAUGUACGGCAGGUCUCUCUACACAGAUAUCACUGGUGAUACUUCAGGAGACUACCGGAAAAUCCUACUCAAGUUGUGUGGUGGAAAUGACUAAAUGGAGCAUUGAGCUUUUCUUAAAAAGCUUCUAUUUUCAUGUUUUUGCUGUAAAGCAUCUUUUUUUCUCCAAAAGUAAAUGUGUAAUGACCUGUUUCUUCUAAAGCAAUUGCAUUUUAAAAGAUAAUAUUGCAUAUAUCUUCAGUUCAAAAAUAGUAGGUAAUAAAUGCCAAAACCACCCAAAAUACCAAGCUUAUGUGCCAUCUGCUCAGGAUUCUGUAUAGCACUCUCAGCAAUCCGUGAAUGGCAGGUCAUUAUUUCUUUUCUGCUUAUAUCAUGCUGAAAUAAUGUUUGUUUUAUAAAACAAAAAUCACAGUUGUAUGAUUUAAGGUGUUGUUUUGUAUAAACAUUGCAUGCCAUUUUAAUGCAAGUUUUAUAUAUACGGUAUGCAGAGUUGGUUUCAGGCUGUCUGACUCCCUGAUAUGUGGAGAUAGCAGCUUGAGGUUUUGUGUCUAAUUAAGACACAAAAGAAGUUUUAAAGAAGUUUUGUCAAGUUCUGUUUUCUUUCCUUGAUUCUUUUCAAGGAAGAUGUGUUCCACAUUUCAUUCUUGCCAAGGCAACCUGUCACAAGGCAGUAGUAGUGUUUACAGCAGUAAGGAUUCUAUGGUUAAUGUUUAAAGGUUUUGCACUGUGCCUUAAAUAUAUGUAUGUAAGAAGAGAUUAUGAAAUUAAAGCUGUCUAAGUCUUUGCAGAUUA
Pseudopipra pipra is the source of this 2319-nucleotide RNA transcript. It is a transcript of the gene named annexin A11, with no coding region annotated. The transcript is spliced from 16 exons. The record is from RefSeq and is a predicted model, not a curated record. NCBI's taxonomy places the organism in Eukaryota, Metazoa, Chordata, Aves, Passeriformes, Pipridae.